GACGAACGCUGGCGGCGUGCUUAACACAUGCAAGUCGAACGGAAAGGCCCUGCUUUUGUGGGGUGCUCGAGUGGCGAACGGGUGAGUAACACGUGAGUAACCUGCCCUUGACUUUGGGAUAACUUCAGGAAACUGGGGCUCCUACCGGUUAGGAGCUCCUGCUGCAUGGCGGGGGUUGGAACGUUUCGGCGGUUGGGGAUGGACUCGCGGCUUAUCAGCUUGUUGGUGGGGUAGUGGCUUACCAAGGCUUUGACGGGUAGCCGGCCUGAGAGGGUGACCGGCCACAUUGGGACUGAGGUACGGCCCAGACUCCUAUGGGAGGCAGCAGGGGGGAAUAGUGCACAAUGGGCGGAAGCCUGAUGCAGCAACGCCGCGUGCGGGAUGACGGCCUUCGGGUUGUAAACCGCUUUCGCCUGUGACGAAGCGUGAGUGACGGUAAUGGGUAAAGAAGCACCGGCUAACUACGUG
RNAcentral lists this ribosomal RNA (468 nucleotides) under uncultured bacterium. Its description in RNAcentral is "partial 16S ribosomal RNA". It matches the Rfam family "Bacterial small subunit ribosomal RNA", at positions 28 to 507 of the family's 1533-position model. The record is from RNAcentral.